RNAcentral lists this long non-coding RNA (20170 nucleotides) under Medicago truncatula (barrel medic). RNAcentral's name for it is "long non-coding RNA (MTRU_LNC005885)". Lineage: Eukaryota; Viridiplantae; Streptophyta; Magnoliopsida; Fabales; Fabaceae. The record is from RNAcentral.
UCUUUCUUUCUUUCUUUCUUUCUUUAUCUCUAUCCUUCCCUUAUAUUGCUCCAUAUUUUGCUUAUAUACUCCACAACCACAAGACACAAGCCUCUCCCACUUUAGCUAAAUGGCUAUGUUGUCACGAAAAGCUUUCAAUGCUUAGGAUUAUGUUUUGUUUUUUUAGUGAACAACAUAUCAAUCAAUAUAUAGUAGUACUAGGUAAUAUUGGUAACAACCCUAAUCAUUUUUUUGUCCAAAAACAAAUCAAUAUAUUUGACUUAAACUAGUAUUUGGAUUGAAAAUUCAUAUAUGCUUAGGGUCAUGUUUUAUUUUUUUGGUGAAAAAAUAUUAACAUGUAGUACUAGCUAGGUAGGUAGUAUUGGUAACAACCUAAUAAUUUUUUUGUCAAAAACAAAUCAAUAUAUUUCACUUUAAUUGUGAAUUUUCAAUUAACAAUUAAAAAUAAUUUUUUUAAGGUACACCUCUUAACUUUGAAAAUUUGGAUAACCAUAACCUUCUUCUCAUUUCUUAUAGUGCUAAAAGAAAUGAGGAACCAUUAUCUCGCAUUGUCGCCUACUCUUAGCAUCUCAAAUCAACUAUACAUUUUCGUUAAUAAGGUUGUUCAUAAUGUAACUUGAACUUCAAUGUUAGAGACUAGUCGCCAAGUCUUUUAUUAUAUUCAAAAUUGUACUACUUCUCUCAUUUUCAAAGAAAUGAAGUAACCCUAAUUUUUCCUAAACAAAUUGAUAAAUGUACAAAUAUGUGGUAAUUAAAUUAAUCUUAGCUCAAAUAAAGUUAACUUUAAUAGAAUUUUUAUCAAGAAAGGAUAAACUUUGAGGAGAAACUUUUCAGUUACAAAAAGACCAAAUACACUUCCUUGGCUGCAUACUUGGAUUCACUUUUAGAGGAGUGAUAAACAAAUAUAGAAUCACCAAAUUAAUUCUGAAUACACUAUAGUAUUUCAAUUUUUUACCCUAACUUUAGUUUCAAAUUUAUUGGUUAACUUACAUUUUAAGAAACAAAGAGAAUAUUAUUGAUAUAAACACACAAAAAGUACAAAGAGUACAAGCAAACAGUCUGUGAAAAGUAAAAACACCACCAAAAGCCUCAAUCUUCAAAGCAACUACUCUUGCUCAUGAGACAACUUAAACUAGACAAGUUUCACUUCCUGAACACACUUCAGUCACACUUCAAAUACGGAUUAAGCUUGCUUUGUUCUCCAAUGUCGUUGUUAUUAAUUAUAUAUCCCCUCAAAAAAUAUAUUCCUUCAAUGCUAAAAAAUAUUUAAAGUUUAUUUUUGUGUGUAUCAGAGAAAUGUUCAAUCACUGCAAGUAUAAAGUUAUUUUUGGGAGUGGAUGUAUGCAUCUCGUGUAGGUACUUUUCAAAAAGUACUAUUCUUAGAUAAUUUUGUUGCUAAAAAGAGUAAUGCUCAAAGUAAUUUUCAUGCAAAAGAAAAUCUUAACCUGAAUUAGUACUUUUCCAACUCACAUUAGUACUUUUUUGUUACAGCUCCAACUCACAUUAAAAAUAGGUUUAAUAGAGCUUUAUCCCCCUGUAAUAUAGGUCAUUUUCAGGUUUACCUCAUGUAAAAUUUUGUUUUGGUUUUCGUCCUUGUAAUUAUUUUUUUUUCCAGAAUAUCCCUCUAAUAGGGCAUUUUCAGAAUUUUUUUUCGAGAAAUUUUAGUUUUUGAAUGACCUAUGACUAUUAAGGGGUAUUUUGGAAAAAAAUAAUUUUACAAAGACGAAAACCAAAACAAAUUUUUUACAGGGGACAAAACCUGAAAAUGACCUAUAUUACAGGGGGUAAAACACUAUUAACCCUUAAAAAUAUCAAAACAAUGAAUACUUUCACUUCACUCACAUUCAACUAAAAUUAAUUUACUCAAAUUAACUUACUUGCUACCAAACACCUAAACACAACUAAUAAAAGUUUGAAUUCAAUAGGUAAAAAGUUGACCAGUAUAUUAGAUUAUGGAUUCAACUCCCGUUGUUAAUGUAUUUUUUGUGUGGAUGAUCUCUAUAGAUCUUUGUAAGUAUUUUGUGUUUCGAGGCCUACUUUUGCCCUCUGAGCCCAAAACCUAAACACAAAUCACUUCAAAUCUUAAGGUUUUAGGUUCGAACCCCACUAGUGUCUUUGAAAAGUUCGAAGACUUCCAUGUCUUAAAAGUCCAAAGUUUAUAUCCAAUCAUGGGAAUAUAACAUCGUUAAGUUUCUUAAUGGAAAUCUUCACUCAUUAUAAUCUUAUUCAACAUAUAUAAGAUAAAUCUAAACAAUUGCGUGUGAGUCAAGAUCUUAUCCAUUUAUUAAUUUUUCUAUUUCUUUUAUUUGAAGAAAUAAAAACACAAAAAAUUUGAAAAUAGUGAGAAUCACUUAAUAAUUGGAUUCACUACUUUUUUGUUAUAUUUAUCUUUCAUCAAAUAAUAUUAUCAAUUUAUUUUUAGCAAAUAGGAAAGAUCUUAACUCAUUACGUUGAAGAUAUAUUUAGUUGGCAUUAAAGAAAGCAAUUAUAAUAGGUAGACAAAACGACAAAGAUGAGAAUAUAAUCUAAAUCCAGGCAAGUAAAUAAUAAAUAUGGGAAACCGCGCCGCUAGAUAAGGCUAUUUUGGUCCAACCAAUAUCUUCUCUUUUUCUUCUACUUUUCUCUGUUCCGCACUUUCAUUUCAUUUUCUUUCUUAAAAUAUUUCUCAACUUCACCUACACACAACAGUAACUUAGGGUUUCUUCAAUGAAGAUCGAUCCAACGACACCGUUUCUCAGAUUCAAAAAACUCUAACUCAUCACCCUCAAACAAUUAACUAGAUUUGGAUUUGUGCUGUGUUUGGAUUUGAUUAGAAGAAAAUAAGCUGCUAAAGCUACUAUGGCCUGCAAGGAUGGUAAUAAGCACUUAAUGGAUAAUGGAAAGUAUGUACGUUAUACACCUGAGCAGGUUGAAGCUCUUGAAAGGCUUUAUCAUGAAUGUCCUAAACCAAGUUCAAUUCGAAGACAACAACUUAUUAGAGAAUGUCCUAUUCUUUCUAAUAUUGAACCAAGACAAAUCAAAGUUUGGUUUCAGAAUAGAAGGUAAUAAACUUCAUUCUUGUUGUUUAAUGCAACCUUUUUAGUUUAUGUUUGAUUCUGGAGAAGCUAGAAUUGAUUUUGACAUGUUUGGUUGGUCUCGAGUAUAAUUGAUUUAAUUUUAACUUCAAGUUAGGAUUUGUAGUUUCUAGAGUCGAAACGUAAUUUUUACAUUGAAAUUUAUUGUUUAACUUACUUUUAGAUAGAGAUAUCCAAAUAUUAAUAACUUUACCAUUCAACAAAUCAAUUUUAAAAAAUUGAUUUAUUUAAAUUGAUUUUUGGUUCGGGCUGGCAAAAUUUGAUUUUGAGUGAAUUGAUUUUGUAAAAUUGAUUGUGGCUAAAAGUGAACUGAAUCUGAAGUGAUUUGAACAAUAAAUUUGAGUGUAAAAAUUAAUUCUAAAAUAAAAAGCUCAAUUUUCUAGCUUCAAGUUAGAACCAAUUUUGGUGGCCGAAUCAAUUCUACAUUUUACACCUCUGGAAUCAAUUUUGGCUUGUUUAAAAGUGGAACCAAACAUACAUUUACGAUAAUUUAAUAAUAUAAAUAAAUUUAUAAAAAUGGUAUUAUUUUUUUUCCUUUGGUUGUGUGUUUUAACUGCAUUAUUUUGUUUGAGAAUUGUUAGUUUUUUUAUUAUGUUUUUGGUUGUCAUUAAUUUGUUUUGGUGUUAUGUUGAGGUUAUGUUUUGUUUUUGUUGUGAAUUUAGGUGUAGAGAGAAGCAGAGAAAAGAGUCUUUCAGGUUGCAAGGUGUGAAUAGGAAGUUGACAGCCAUGAAUAAGCUGCUGAUGGAGGAAAAUGAUAGGUUGCAGAAGCAGGUGUCUCACCUGGUGUAUGAGAAUGGCUAUUUUCGUCAAAACACCCAAAAUGUAAGUUUAUGUUGUUGUUGUUGAGAUUCUUGAUAGUCUGUUUAGUUUUUUCAAUUAGGGAGGAACUUUUCCUAUGUAGAACUGACAUGGACAUGACGCUGACACGUCGAUAUCAGUAAUAAUAUGAGAAAAUUUCAUAAUUGAAUGUAAUCACAUGUCCGUGUCGUGUUGGACACUAACAUGCGUCGGACACAGGACACACUUUCAAUUAGAAGUGUCGGUGCCGGAGAGAACUUUUCCCUCCCCUAAAGCACUUGGGAAGUACACAUUUGGAAAAAUACAGUUUUAAUAUUGUCUGGACGUGUGUUUUCGAACAAAAACACAGUUUUUCCCAUUUGGAUGUGUAUUUUUGGAUUCUUUGACUGUUUUUUAGAAAUGUGAGCCUAAUGACACUAUUGUGAAUGAAAGUGAUAUUUGUGAAAUUUAAAUCUUUGUCUUGUGCUUAAUUGUUCUUCUACCCUUACUUUCUUUGCAUACUCAGGCAACCAAAGACACGAGUUGUGAUUCAGUGGUGACUAGUGGUCAGCACAAUAUGACUAGUCAACAUCCCCCAAGGGAUGCAAGUCCUGCAGGGUGAGUGCGAUUGAUGGAUACUUGGUCCCUUUCUGACAUUGGUUUGUGAUAACUUGUUUGUGUACAUAUGGCUAAUGGAAUCCUGGUUUCUCUUUUUCUUUUACUUUUUUCAGGCUUUUGUCCAUUGCAGAAGAAACUUUAGCAGAAUUUCUUUCAAAGGCUACUGGAACCGCUGUUGAGUGGGUCCAAAUGCCUGGAAUGAAGGUAUCUCAAGAAUUAUUUCAUUGGUUGACCCAUUAGUUAUUAGUUACAUUAUUUAAUAAAACAAACUGGUAAAAAAACUGUAAAUCGUCAUCUUGGGAUAACUUAUCAUCCAAUGUUCCAAUAAUCUUCUUUAAUUUUGAUAAUCUUCAUUAGCAUUUAUGUUUGAGUAAUUUAAUUUUUUUAAAAAUACGUUCCUGUUGUUAAUUUUGCUGAUGUGGACAGCCUGGUCCGGAUUCCAUUGGAAUCGUCGCUAUUUCUCAUGGUUGCACUGGUGUCGCAGCAAGAGCUUGUGGUCUAGUGGGACUAGAACCCACUAGGGUAAGUGGUCCAGAUUUGCAAUCUCUAUUAUUGAAUAUCUUACUUGAGUUUAUGAAUCAUGUGGUCAAACAUACACUUUCCAGGUUGCGGAAAUCCUAAAAGAUCGUCCUUUGUGGUUUCGUGAUUGCCGAGCUGUUGAUAUUGUCAAUGUGCUGCCCACUGCUAACGGUGGAACUAUUGAGCUGCUUUAUAUGCAGGUAAAAAACAUUUUAUAAUGCAUGGAUGAAGAUUCUAGAUAUUGAUGAUUGACACUCAAUAACUUGUGUGCUUAUUGUUGCUUUUGAUGACCAGCUUUAUGCACCAACCACAUUGGCACCUGCUCGUGAUUUCUGGUUGUUACGCUACACUUCUGUUGUAGAAGAUGGCAGCCUAGUGGCAAGUGGCUCUAAAAUUCUUAGCCUAAAUUUGUAAUUGAUUAGAUAUUGUAGUUAAUAAUUGACAUUCCUUGUGCAAUGACCCAGUCCUACUGUUAUAUUUUGUAGUCCUACAACACAUAUGUCUAAAUCAUUGUUUAUGUGUGCCUUAGAUCUGUGAGAGGUCUCUUAAAAAUACUCAAAAUGGUCCAAGCAUGCCUCCUGUGCCGCAUUUUGUUAGAGCAGACAUGCUGCCUAGUGGGUACCUGAUAAGACCUUGUGAAGGAGGUGGUUCCAUCAUCCACAUUGUUGAUCAUAUGGACUUGGAGGUACAUUUAUUCAACUUGGUUCUAAUAAUAAUAAUAAUAAUAUUUUUUAACUUGACAUUAACUUGAGCAUCUUGCUACUAUUGAUAGCCAUGGAGCGUUCCAGAAGUACUGCGUCCACUAUAUGAAUCACCAAUGGUGCUGGCUCAGAAGACUACUAUGGCGGUAUGGUUGUUGUAUUUCUUUUACUGAUGGUACACCGGCAUAUAUGCGUUUGUUCUGCUGUUCCUUUUUAAGUCCAGAUUAGAAAAGAUGUUGUCAACUUAAUAGUAACAAUAAUAUUGACUAGUGUGGUUGAAAGGACUAUGACAUAAUUAAUUCUUUCUCUUUUUCAUACAGGCUUUACGUCAUCUAAGGCAGAUUUCGCAUGAAGUUUCUCAGCCCAAUGUCACUGGGUGGGGAAGACGACCAGCAGCUCUGCGGGCACUUAGCCAGAGAUUGAGCCGGUUAGUAUCUUUUGCCAAGGGGGUAUGAUUUUUGUUCUUACACUUCACAAAUAAAUGUGGAAUCUGACAUCUUCUUUGCAGGGGUUUCAAUGAGGCACUCAAUGGAUUUACUGAUGAAGGGUGGACAAUGAUGGGCAAUGACGGUGUUGAUGAUGUCACUAUUCUAGUAAAUUCAUCACCUGACAAGUUAAUGGGUCUGAAUCUUUCCUUUGGCAAUGGAUUUCCUUCUGUCAGUAAUGCUGUGUUAUGUGCCAAGGCAUCAAUGCUAUUACAGGUCAGGAUGCUUAGCAAUUUCGAUGAAUUUCUUUAUAAUGAUAAAUUACAAUAUGUUUCUUAAAACUUUUUUUCGACAAUUACUCAUGUCAAUCAAGCUCAUGACUAUUACUAUGUUAAACAUCCAUUGCAUAACGUGUACUGUCUGGCCUUUUCUUUGCGUAGUAGUUAAGCACGUGUUCUAUUAAGUAAUCAUAUAAUUUAAAUGAUUGUUAAUAGAGACUUCCAAAUGCCUAGGCAAAACAUGGCUCAGAGGGGUACUUAUAGGGACUUGUUUGAUCGCCCAUUUUCUAAUCAAUUGGUAGUAAACAUGCCUAUUUGUUGUAUCCAUAUUAUUUCUGUCCUUUGCCUGUCCUGCUGUACCCCUAUGAAAAGUAUGGGCCAGAGGAAUUGUUAAGUUACACAAAAUUGUAUGAGUUGCAUUGCACAUAUCCAGUGGUUCAUGUUAAGUUCUAUAUUGACACAUUUCAUUUCUUUUUGUCCAGAAUGUGCCUCCAGCCAUUCUCCUAAGGUUCCUGCGUGAACAUAGAUCAGAAUGGGCGGACCAUAAUAUGGAUGCUUACACAGCUGCUGCCAUUAAAGUUGGCCCUUGCAGCUUAACAGGAUCUCGCGUAGGAAAUUACGGGGGUCAAGUGAUUCUCCCGCUAGCACACACUAUUGAGCAUGAGGAGGUGAUAUAUUGGUGCUAAUUAUGCAUUAUAACUACUAUUAAUUUUAUCAUUCCGUAUGACUAACUUUUGGCUUAAUUAUGCUAGUUUUUGGAAGUUAUUAAGUUGGACGGAGUUGCCCAUUCUCCUGAAGAAAUGAUGGCCAGAGAAUUGUUUCUGUUGCAAGUAAUUAUUUUUCUUCCUCAUAUUGUUUGCUCCAUGCUUAACCUUCUUUUACCUGGUUUCCUUGUCGUUUUGAUUUGUACUCCUAACACUUUCAUAGUUACAUCACAUUUUCUAGAGAUCUUAAGGUUCAUAUUUAUUCACCCUGUAAUUGUGCUGUCUAUAUGUUUUGAACUAAUUAAGGACUUAAAUUAUUGUACAUUAUUAUAAUACUUGAAAAUUAGGAAUGAAUAAGAGAAUUUAGGUGUGGUCUCCUCGUCCUGUUUAUGUGAUGCUAUUUCUUCUCUUUACCUGUGUCUGAAAACAACAUCGCCAAUGUCAAUAUAGCUAGCUAGUUUUACUCGGUAUCUUUUGAACUCCCGCUUCCAUUAGAAUGGGGAAGCAUUCUGUUUUAAUGUGAUGAUUCCUAAGACAUAUUUGGUUGUGAUAUUCUUACAUAUAACUCACUCUAUGUUGUUUUGGUAGCUCUGCAGUGGAAUGGAUGAGAAUGCUAUUGGCACCUGUGCAGAACUUAUAUUUGCUCCAAUUGAUGCUUCAUUUGCUGAUGAUGCCCCACUUCUACCCUCUGGGUUUCGUAUCAUCCCUCUUGAAUCUGGAAAAGUUAGUUUCAUAUAUUGCCAAACUAGUUUAUUUGUUUGUAUUCACCUUUCCUCUAGAAUUUUCUUAAUUAUAGCAAUGAUAUAUUUUAUAGGAAUCGUCCAGUCCUAAUCGCACUCUUGAUCUUGCAUCUGCCCUUGACAUUGGCCCUACUGGAAACCGAGCAUCAAGUGAUAAUGCUGGAAAUUCUGGCUGUGUGAGAUCUGUGAUGACAAUAGCAUUUGAAUUUGCAUAUGAAAGUCAUAUGCAAGAGAAUGUAGCAUGCAUGGCACGCCAAUAUGUUCGCAGUAUUAUAUCAUCAGUCCAAAGGGUAGCGUUAGCACUUUCUCCUUCUAAUCUGAGUUCACAUGCUGGGCUGAGGUCACCGCUAGGUACCCCUGAAGCACAAACCCUUGCUCAUUGGAUCUGCAACAGUUAUAGGUACGUGUCUUGCCGAGGCUGGUUAAAUAUACUUAAUUAUGAUACAAGUGGGCUUGUCCUGAAUAACCUUAUUAUAUACGGAAACCUUUACUUUUCAAGAUUUAACAAGGAUGAGAUGACAACUAAACUUAAUAUACUAUCUCAUUCACGAAAGACACUGCAGCUCUGUCAAUGAUAGGUUUGGUGAGUUGUAUACAUAGAGUGGGAUAUUCUUUUUUCCAUACUGUCCUUAUCCUCUGACCUUCCAACCUUUUGAAUAAUUGAAAAUUCCAAAAUAGUUUUGCUAGCGGCGAAGCUGAGUUCUGUAAAUAGAUGCAUAUCAUAACCCCAAGUUCUGGUGUAGUUUUGCAGUUGAAAAUUUCCAACUAGUUGACGGUCUUGCAAAUCUCUUAUUUUUUAACUUCUUAUCAAAUACUUUUUGACAAAGAUUGAAUGAAAUGCUUCCAUUUAGUAUUCAAUAUCUUAGCAUGCACUACAUUAAUGGUUGCUUUUCAUAAAUUCUGUGUUUUGCUAGUGGGCUUGUUCCUUCUUACUUGUAAAUUUUAUUGCUGAACAACUGUAAAAAAGUAUUGUAUUUAAUGCUCAUUUAAUAGGCAGAAACUGGUACAUUGAUCACAGUGCUGUUUUUUGAUUAUCUUUGUUUUGCAGAUGCUACUUAGGCGUGGAGCUACUUAAAUCUAAUACUGAAGGAAAAGAAUCUGUACUCAAGUCCUUGUGGCACCACUCUGAUGCUGUAUUAUGCUGCACUCUAAAGGUAUGCUUCAAAUUGAUUUCUAUUUCAUAGGACGUGCAUUUUAUCUCAUGUAUCUCCUGUCUGCAGUGCAAUUUAUUUGUCUAAUGCAAAAAUAUAUUAAAAAAUUAGUUGAACUAUAAAAUUGGGGAUGUCAAAAUGAGCUAUAAAGCCUGAAAAGGCUGAAUUUGAAUAUUAUUUUCUCUGAAGUUUACUUAGGUUUUAUUGUAUUUUGCCUCAAGCCUUCAACUAUAGAUCCUUAGGAUCUUUACCUGUCAGUUUUGAAAACCUUAUUAUUCUUGUUCAAACCAUACGAGUUGAAAUAUCAAUGAAAUACUCUAGUUGUUUAUGUUAAAAAAAGAAAUUCAACUAGAACUAUUAUUAUAAUCUUCUACCUUCUUUGAAUUAAGCAGGCAAUGCCAGUGUUCACUUUCUCAAACCAGGCAGGGCUUGACAUGCUGGAGACUACGCUUGUUGCAUUACAAGAUAUAAGUCUGGAGAAAAUAUUUGAUGAUAAUGGUCGAAAAACUCUCUUUUCGGAGUUCCCCCAGAUUAUUCAACAGGUCUACAAUUUUUUAUUUAUUAAAAUGCACCGUUUUUUUUUUUAUUUUUUAUUUUAAAUCUAGUUUCCUUCUGAAUUGGCGGUAUGCUUUCAGUAGACCAUCAUUUUCAGGCUUUAUAAUGCUCUUUAUUAAUUUCGCCUCGUUCUCUUAUGAUAGGGUUUUGCAUGUCUGCAAGGUGGUAUUUGUCUCUCAAGCAUGGGACGACCUGUCUCAUACGAGAGAGCUGUUGCUUGGAAGGUGCUGAAUGAUGAACAGAAUGCUCAUUGUAUUUGCUUUAUGUUUGUGAACUGGUCUUUUGUUUGACAUUAUGUUCGGAGUUAUAGGUAUCAGUGUGUUAAGAUGAAGACUUACUCCAAGACAUUUAUGCUGUAUUGUUUUUGUUUUUGCUUUUGUACUUUCCCUGAAUUUGCUCUGAAGACUUGGAUUUGCAUAUGCUAUGACUAUUUGUGUUAGCCUAUGUUGCUUUUAUUCCUUCUUUAUUCUCCAGCUAAUAUUUUGUGCUGGAAAUAAUUUGCACAUCGGGUGUGUGAUAAAUUUUUAUCGAUGCUUUGACACAAAUUUUUGGGGAUUAAAAUUGGCUUAUCAUCGUUACAUCCCAAUUCACUAUGUAUGCAAAUAUGUCACGACUCGUGGUGACCUCGAGAUGAUUUCUUUCUAUACUCUUUGGCUGAGAUGAUUUCUUUCUAUACACUUCGGCUACGUGCAAUUUACCAUUAUAGAAAGUACAUGUUUCAUGUUUAACUUAACUUUGAAAUCAUGAACGUGAUUGCGCCAAGAUCUAAUAAAUGGGAUUUCCCACGUCUUUCUUAAGGUAUAUACACAAUUUCUGUCAUGGUUAAAGAUGAUAUGGCCUCAUUGCUCAACAACUAUAAUCUCAGCAUCACUUAGGGUGAAAAAAAUCAGCGUAAAUAGGAACAAAAUCAGCCUUUGAGGUACCUAUUCCUAUUCCACUGAUUUUUUUUUUUGUCUGCUCAAUAUUGGAUAGUGAUGUCUAAAUAGGAAGUAACGAGUGCUCAAGUAAUGAUUCCACUGCUUUUUUAAAAUGUGGGAAUAUAUGGCUUGUAUUGUUUCCUUCUAAUCUUUAGGACAACUUGUAAUUAAAGCACAUUAUCAAUAAAUUGUUUAGCUUAUCAAAAUAUUAUUAUGUGCUUGUGGAUAGAUGCUUGUCUUCGUCAUAUGAACAAAUCGAUAACGGCUUAAUCAUCAUUCACAUAUUCAUUGCAACUACCUUCAACAACUUUCCUUCCUCUUUUUUCAUGAUUCAUUAAGCUCCUCGUGAACUGAAAGUACAAGUAUGUGGAGGAAAGCUCUAUACUUAGCAAGUUCAUUCCCUUCUUUUGCGUGUAAAUAACUUCACCACAAAAGAAGAAAGUGGAGGAUGGGUUUUAGCCACUUCUAUUCUAAAAAAAGAAAGAAGAAAGCAUAGGGAAAGUAUAUACAUUUCACCAUGCAUGUGAGUACCUAUACGUUGUGGUCAGUUGGUAUUGGACCACAUAAAAUCGAUUGCAAAAAGAAGGAACUUCUUAUUAGUGGAAAAAGAAAUUUUUUCAUUAAAUGAAUGAAUAUAAAGAGGGCUCAUCAUAAUUCUAUCCAAAAUGGGACUGUUUCAAAAUAUUUUUUUUUCUUGAAAUUUUUAACAAUGAUACGUAAUGAAAGGAACUUUAAAACUUUGUACAAUGAUACGUAAAGAAAGGAACUUUAAAAUUUGUACCAUUCAAAAGAAAAAGAAAAGAACUAAUUUAAAAUAAAAUUUUGGCUCUCAUUUUAUGAAACUUACAAAAUCCAAUGCGUCAACCAAUUCCUCAACUUCAAGACACUAGUAGUAAGUAGCUUAAGCCAUGGGAGGUUUUUUUCCAAUGCCACACGAGAGUAAAAGUAACUCUGUCGAAGCAUAUGUUUAAUUUCAAUUUUGAAAGGUCAAAAGUGAUUUCGGAGAUUGUAGUAUUGAUUUUACAAUGUUUGGAUGAUUUAAAAGAAAAUUGAUUUUGCUUAUAGAAACUAGAAUUUGUACCUUUAUCUUCCACAAUUUACUUUAUCCUUACUUUUUUUUUUUACAAAAACUUAAAUUUAUUGUUAAAUUCACUUGUACAUAAAUACAUCCAAACAUUAAUCACUUUAUAUUCUAAUUGGCGGGUUUCGAACCUAGGAUACACUACUUAUUCAUCUUAAUAUACGAAUUUUUAUCUAUUAGGUUACUUGAUCAAUAAAAAUAAAAUUUUUUUUAGGUCAUUAUGAUCCUCAUUUCUAAAAAACAAAAUUGCAAGAAUUUUCAUAUCAUGAAUAAUAUUAGGAUUUGAAUUAAUCACCGAAGUGUUAAAACUCUUGUUGGUAAUUGAAAAUAAAAAGGCUAGCAGUAUCGGGUACAGUGAUUUGUUGUUGUUGUAAUAUUUGGGCACAUUCAAAUUCUUAUUCUUACCCAAAGUAGGAGUGAUUUUUCAUGUUUUGUCAACGCCACGUACAUUCAUCUAAUUCUUCAAUAGUGUAAGCUUGUUGAACUUUAUAAAUACCUAGGUAAACCUUUAUUUUUAGUUAAUGGCAAAAAUAUAUAAAUAUACCUAGCUAAACCUGUAAAUAAAUUUGCGGAUAUAAUUGAAUAUAUCUUCAAUAGAUAUAAGGUAUUACAUAGGUCAUCAUGCAUGUCAAGUCAAGCUUCCUAAUAGACAUAUUAGACCUUAAAAAAAUUGCAUUGAUCAUAUGAAGAAAUCAUACUCAAAUGUUAUAAUUCACCAUGACUUAAAAGUUAUAUAACUCUAACUGAACCAGACCUCAAACGUUUAAUUCACCAUGACCUAUCAUUCAUUUUAGUUUACAUAUUUUAUGUAGUCAAUUUCAAGCUAUAUGUAUGUAUAAUAUAUGUAGGUAUGAUCAUCUACUAGAACAAGGGGAAAACAUUCAAAAAAUGUAAAGAAAAUAUAUAUAGAGUAGGAAAAAGUGGCACAUCUCGUUAUUAUAAUUACACCAUUAUCAGCCAUGGAAAGAAAUCAUGCACGUAGAUGAACCAUUGGUUUCACGUGUUUUUUUACUUUUUUUCUUCGAGACAAAACUAUUCCAACCAUGAAAGUUCACUUUAGAAGUAAAACAAUUAUGUAAUAAAAAAAAGCCACAAUCUUUCAAUUUCAGAUUGGAUAAACAUUUAUUUCAAAUUUCUAAAAGCUUCACUAGUCAUUGCUUCUCAUUAAAUCUUUCUCGAAAAAUCUAGUUAGUUCACGACUUGGAAGAUGACAUUUGAGUUUCUAAGAUCCAUACACUUUCUUCCAAUGUUAUAUGCCAAAGUAUUAUAAAUAGGGUUAUCCUUUCCUUGAAAAGUUAUAAGUCUCUUUUCAAAUAGCCUCAUUAUUUAAUCCAACACAAAAACCAUACUUUUCUACAAUCAAGUUCAAUAUAUUUCUUAUCAUGAUUAUGGCACCUCAUGGAGAAUCUUUGUUGUCAAGUUCAUUCUCAAGGAACAACAAUACCACAUCAAACAAACCAACAAAGCUUUCAACUUCCGACCACCUUCAAAGAACGGUCUCCGAUAUUUCCUUCGAGCUGAUGGCGAAAGAAGCAAUUGACAAUUUAAAACUACCAUCGAUAUCCGAAGUUGAAGAUGCAAAGUGCGAGUGUUGUGGCAUGUCUGAAGAGUGCACACCCGAGUACAUAGAUCGUAUUCGCAACAAGUUCAAAGGGAAAUUUGUGUGCGGUUUGUGUUCGGAGGCGGUGAAAGAAGAGUUGGAGAAAAAUGGUGGGAAAAAAUUAGAAGAAGCAUUAAACACACAUAUGAAUGCAUGUGUUAAGUUUAACAAAUAUGGUAGGGCUUUUCCAGUUUUGUUUCAAGCACAAGCUAUGAAAGAAAUGUUGAAAAAGAGUAACAUGGAUGGGAAAAUUAGGGCUAAGUCAAUUAGUCCAAGGGACAAGAAUGGAGGAGGAGGGCUUGCUCGUAGUUCAAGUUGUAUUCCAGCACUUACAAGAGAGAUCAACAAUAUCAAAAUAGCCAAUUAACUAUCUAUCUCUUUGAGCACGAAAUCUUUAUACUAUAGUUAAUUAUAAUGUUACUAUAAGUAUAAAGCUAGUUUUUCUUUUACAUAGACCUUGUUACAAGCUAGUUGCCUAAGGUUUUUUUAGGGUAUUAUUGACCCUUUUACUUCUCAAGGCUGCUUAGUUUUUUUUUGGUCUGUGCAGUUUUUAUUUUAUAACUUCAUGAAAUGUACCGUAGAUCUUACCAAUCAUAUGUUAUGGAAUAAAAUUUCACUUGGUGUACUGAUAUCAUGUGAUAAUUAUCAUGUCAAUUUUUUCUCCGAUAUUAAUUUUAUUUUCAACAAGUCAAAAUGAAAUAUAUUAACACGAGAGAAAAUAUCAUAUCCAGAACAAAGUGUACCAGAAUAGAAUACGAAAGUCUUACAAAAGCAAUAAAUUGAACAAGACCAAAAAGUAAAAUUACCCAAUGCCCAAACAAAAAAAAAUACUAAGCCAUCAACUAUAGUAUUAAAAUAAAUAUGAGCAAAUUUGGCCUUCAACCACAGUAAGAAAGUAGCUUAAUUUUGUAAAGAAGGUGUUUAUUGGAACUUUCUUUAUUAUUAAAAAUAAUGUCAUCCGAAAUUUUGAAACACCUUUGUAUUGACAUCCAUCUUAUGUAGCUUCAAAAUUAUAAAAGAAAACUAAUAUCAUGACUGUCCUAAUAUAGUCUUUCGAUUAAACUAAAUAGAAUUUCUUUUUUCAACAAAUUCUUAAUAACACUAAAAGCCCAAGCUGUCAAACUGAACAAAAUGAUCUCGUAUUAUGUAUUAUCAAAAACAAGAAACUAAGCUUGUUUUUGUCUACUGUAUAUUACAUCGUUGGUUAAUAAGAAACUGAAAUUAAGUAACAAAAAACAGGAAAGCUGAAAGGAAAAAAAUCAAAGUAAAUCUCUCGUUACAUGAUUUGUAAAUUUAGAAGAAUAAUUGAUAAAUAAAAACCAUAAUGCCAUGGUGCCUUAAAUUUCUGAUGGGCCGAUCAUUGUUACUUUUAGGUCGGGAGUAUCCGACGAACCGAAGAUCGAUUGAUGGUGGCAUUCGAAUGAGUAUUGGACUAAGGUGUUUUGAAGGUGAGGUGUUGGUUGGUUUUUAUGGUUUUUUGCAGGGCUUUUGGUGUGAGCAGCGGACAAUAGGUGUUUGUAUUUUGGUUAAGUGGUCAUUCGGGAUGGAGUUUGAAUUUUGGGCUCAAGUUUUAGUUUAUGAUGUUGUGUGGGGGCUUGGCGCUGAUUUGUGAGUUGACAUUGGCUUUGGUGAUAGCCUCAGUUAGGUGGUGUAUUUAUUGGUGUUUUUGAUGUACAAAGUGUGUAAUUUUAUUUUUGGGUGUUCCGCCUAUAUAUGACGCUCUUUGGUGAUAGCCUUAGUGGUGUCUUUAUUGGUGUUUUUGAUGUACAAAGUGUGUGAUUUUUCUUUUGGGUGUUCCGCCUAUAUAUGGCGCUCUUUGCUAUGUUUGAUUCUGUUUUACCGAUUUCUAUUCAUCUUGUGCAAAGACUUGGUUAUCAAUAAAUUCUAUCUGGAAAAAAAUGUCAUGCAUCUGGAAGCGCGUGCACACACACACACAUAUAUAUAUAUAUAUAUAAGCACAUCUGAAGAAAAAAAAUGUCAUGCAUCUUAUGCAAAGACUUAGUGUAUGUUUUCAACAUAGUAUUUAAUACUGAUUGAAGAAAAAGAUAUAAAAUAAAUAAGGAUAUGUUGGUAAAGAAUUACUGAAUGUACUUGAAAAUACCAAAUAUGUCUUAUAAAAAGAGACAAAAAAUUUCUCAAAAGGAUCUUAUAUUUAGGGAUAGAUGUAGUAUUUAUGAAAUAGUCAACGUUUUUUUUUUUUUUGUUACAAGGGAUAAAGGAAAGAAACAAAGAAACUGAAAGACAUGAACAAAAGAAAAAAAAGAAAACAGUCUAAACAGACCUACAAAUAAUUAUCCCUAGGGAAGAAAGUUUCCCUAGCGUCAUUUCUAAGUAGAUCACUCAUUCCCUGAGGCGUAGACAAGUGGAUAAACAACGCAGAAUCUGAAGAAGCUCUUAACUUGGGCAAAAAAAUCAACGCAUUGAUUACCCUCCCGCAAAGUGUGAAAGAUUAAAGUGUUGUUGGAGGAUACCAUAUUCUUUAUAUCUUAAAUGAGAGCAGCAUAAAUAUAAUAUUUUAUGGUUGGACAGGUAAUAAGAUUUAAGCUGAGAAGGAAAUCCGUAUAAAACACAAAUUCAGGAGUAUCCAUUUCUCGAGCCAACAUAAACGUUUUUAAUUUAACACCAAGGGAAUAUCACUUAUCAAUAGGACAAGAGGAUGUAUUUAAAAAUCUCAUCUUUUAACAUAUUCCAAUGAUUUAGGCGAAAUGCGCGUGUUAUCAAUAAUUUUCAUUUUGGGACAAAUGCUCCAUGAGAUUUCCUUUGAAGUUUGAAUUCAACUUCAAAAGUCUUUGCCUCUUAACUCUUAAGGCAACUCCUCCGACCAAUCACAAUCGGCUCUAUAAAACAACAUAAAAAAAUUAAAAGAUAAAAAUAAAGUAGCACUAAAUAAUUUGAACCAUUAAAAUAAAGUAGCACUAAAUAAUAUAUAAAUAAAUAAAUAUCUAUGCACCCACGGGUUAUUCAAGUUCUAGGGUUAGUUGAUUCAAACACAAAAAGAAAAAGAGAAGAAAAAAAAGAAGAAUAAAAAAACACCACGUUUUUCUUUCUAUUUCCUUUCCCUAUUACAUUCACUCACAUGAUAUAUAUAUAUAUAUAUACCCAUCACCCUUCCUCUUCAAUUCAUCCCUUUGUGUCUCAAUAUUCAUCUCUCUCUCUCCAAAAAAAUCUCUCUAGCUCUCUCUUUCUGUUCUUCAAAUAAAAAUCCAACCAAACUAAAUUAAAACAUCAAUAUACAAAAUGGAAAACAACGUACCAAUAAUAACCAAGAGAGUAUGGAGUAUGAUACGUGUGGCUUUGUUCAUGUUAAGAAAAGGCAUAUCAAAGGGAAAACUAAUGAUGGACCUCAACAUGAUGGUUAAACACCGCGGCAAGCUCGCCGGAAAAGCCAUCACCAACCUCAUGUUUCAUCACCACCACGGUGGCUCCACCUCAAGCCGUCGUAACGACACACGCCUCUCUACCACAAGGGAGUAUGAGUUCAGCUGUAGCAACACCCCUAAAUACAAAUUUUCAUUUAACAACAAACGCCACCGCAACAACCACUUCUUCACGUGUGCUCACGCGCCUCUCACACAAGACGAUGACAUUGUUACCGUUAAUGCGGUUAAGGCUGUGUUAGAGAAAAUGGUAAACAAUAAUGAGGUGAUAGGUGAGGCUUCCCCGGUGCUCCCCGGUUCUCGACGAACUCCUAUGACCAGGCAGUUGAUGGUUAAUGACCUUGACACCGAUACGGAUGCCGAGGUAGACAAGGCUGCCGAAGCAUUUAUAAAGAGGUUUUACUUGCAGUUGAAGUAAGAGGAUGGAGUUUUGUUUCACAAUUUUGUUUCUUAACAUUUAAUUAAUGUUACUUUGUGAUUUGUGAUUUAUGAUUUAUGAACAUACAAAGCUGGUAUGCAGUUUUGGAUAGUACUAGCUUCAUGCAUGUCUUUGUGGAACCUUAGGAGAAGAUCAUGGACAUGCAUGAUAAUUUUGUUACUUUAUUUUUUUAUAUAUGUUGAGAGUUUAUUGGCAAAAUUAAUAUCCUCUGUGAAUUUGUCAAAAGAAAUAUGAAAGUUCCAUUUUUAGAGAGAUAUAUAAUCGCAAAAAAUCAAGAUGAAUAAAAUUAAGGUAUCUUGUGUUAAACAUAGUUUGGGUCGGGGACAUAUGUCCUCAAAAUGCUCCAUAGCCCAAACUUGAAAGAAGAAAAAGGUUAAGAACACAUCCAGGGCUGGUCCUAGGAUUUUUCGUGUCCUGGACGAAACAAUAAAUUGUACCCUUUUAAUUAUUUUAAUAUUUUUUUUCUUGCAUUUUUUGUUGAAAAAUAUUCGUUUAUAUAUAAUCAAAGUUAUAUAAAAAUAUAUUUUCAAUAGAAUUAACCAAAGCGAAUUAAAAAAAAAUAAUAUAUCUAUAUAAUACUAACUACUAAAUAAAAAUAAUAAUUUUGGUGCCUCUAAAAAAGUGGUGCCCAGGGCUACCGCCCCUCGUGCCCGCCCUCAGGGCCACCCCUGAACACAUCCAAAAUAUCUUAAAUGUCAUGCAAGCGGUAUAUCUUUAAUGUUAGUAACACAUCAGUCAAAAUAUCUUAAAUAUCAUACAAUAUGAUGAUAUUCUCACCAAUGGAAAAAAUGAAAGCUACUCGUGUCCCUAUGCCACCACUUUGUCAAUGUCGUGCAUGCAUGUGUUCUUAUUAACUUGACCAUAGUUGGUAUCAACAAGGUUUGGUGUUGGCUAGCAGCGGCGUGGUGGCUGGUAUUGGCAUAGUUGGUAGCCUUUUGGAGCUUUUUUGGUUUUUAGGAUCUUAUUGUGUUUCUUUAGUGCUUUUGGGAGUUUACUACUAAAACAAUGCUAGUUUUCUUGUCUUAGCCCAAUUCGAUAACAUUUUGUAUUCGCAUUUGUGUAUUAUCUUAAAAUUUUCCCUUUGAAAAAAAACAUAAAAUUAGUAUUAUAUAUGUAAAGAAAACAUAAAUAUGAUUAUAUUUUUAUAUACUACUCUGACCCAUAUCUUGACUGCAAUGUGCUUACAAAAAUUUGGCAUGAGUGACAUAUGAGAAGGAUCAACACCAAUUCUAUUAUUAGCGUCCUCUGGUGGCGGUUGUGGUGGGUUAUGUGGUGGAGAGCCUUCAGCCGAGUCUGUAACUUUUGUAUGUCCCUACGCAUGAAAUUGUGCAAUAUCUCCCUUCAUGUCUACCAACAUCGUCCACCAUAUCUAGAGCUACCAACAAAAAGAGACAAAUUAAUCAUUAAAGUAUUUCAUCAAACAUAUAGAGCUAAAAAAACAACAUUUACAUUUCUAAUUAGCAUUUGAAUACCACAUUUCGCUAGUUCAAACCCUAAAAUACAUUCACAUUCACAUCCUAACUACUUGAUCAACAACAACAAAGUUCUGAACUACAUUCACAUUCAAAUUCUAAAAUAAACCCUAUCUCGCAACAAACACAAAAUGAGAGAAAAUAAACAUUUGUUGGGUUUAAGAAGAAAUGUCAAAAUAAAUACAAUUUCUUCGACCCUAGGUUGAUGAAAAUCAAUUGUUGAACUAUAAGAAUGUUUGGAUAUAAAGAAUUCAAAGUAAACGCAUAUAAGAACAAGUCUUUUAUUCUUGUAUAAGGCUGAUGUAGAUUGGAACGUAACCCUUUGUCGUUAUAUAAAGGAGAAUUUUGGGAUAACGUGUAAGCAAUUCAAAGGUUACAUGGAGAACCUUUCAAAGUUUGUAAUCUUAUUAUGAUUUUUUUUGUUUGUUUUGCGGUUUAUGUUUUUUAUUCUUAGAAAAUAGGUCUUUCAUCUCUUAAAAAUUCAUUUUAUUUUAAUUACAUUUUUAUUAUAUAUCAGAAUGUUAGAAUAUUAGCGAGUAUGUAGCAAUAACAAUCUUUAAAAAAUUUAUAGAAUUAAAAAAAUCAUGAAAAAUUUAGUUAAAAAUCAUACUAAAAGAAUCUAAGAAAAUGCACCUAAGUUUAUAAAAGGGUUAAUGGUACUUUAUCCCCCUGUAAUAUAGGUUAUUUUUGGUUUUCCCCCCUGUAAAAUAUUUUUUUUUAUUUACCCCUUGUAAAUUUUUUUUUUGAAUACCCCCUAAUAGGUCAUAAAAAAACGACUUUAUUUUUUUUUUUGCAGAAUUUUUUCGUUUUUUUAUGACCUAUUAGGGGGUAUUCCAAAAAAAAAAAAAAUUACAGGUGAGUAAAUCAAAAAAAAUAUUUUACAGGAGGGAAAACUAAAAAUGACCUAUAUUACAAGGGGUUAAAGCACCAUUAAUCCUUUAUAAAAUGUACACAAUAUCACGUUAGAUUCAACUUCAAAGUCUUACCUCUUAACUCUUAAGGCAACACCCCUCACCAAUCAUACUCAGUUAAACUAAAUAAAAUAAAAUAAAAAAAAAAGCUAAAACUAAAGUAGCACUAAAUGAUAAAUAUCUAUGUACCCACACCACGGGUUAUUCAAAAGUUCUAGGGUAGGUUGAUUCAAUCACACAAAAAAAAAAACACGUUUUUCUUUCUCCUCUUUUUCCCCAUUACAUUCACAUAUAUAUACACCCAUUUCCCUUCCUCUUCAAUUCAUCCCUUUCUUUGUGUUUCAAUAUCUCUCUCCAAAAAAUAAAAUCUCUCUAGCUAUACCUCUUUCUUUCCUUCAAAUUAAAUUAAAACAUCAAUAUACAAAAUGGAAAACAACGUACCAAUAAUAACCAAGAGAGUAUGGAGUAUGAUACGUGUGGCUUUGUUCAUGUUAAGAAAAGGUAUAUCAAAGGGAAAACUAAUGAUGGACCUCAACAUGAUGGUCAAACGCCGUAGAAGCUUGCCGGAAAAGCCAUCACCAACCUCAUGUUUCAUCACCACCAUGGUGGCUCCACCUCAAGCCGCCGUAAUGACACACGCCUCUCUACCACAAGGGAGUAUGAGUUCAGCUGCAGCAACACACCCAACUACAAAUUUGCCCUAAACAACAAGCGUCAUAACUUCUUCACGUGUGCUCACGCGCCUCUCACAAAAGAAGACGACAUUGUAACCGUUAAUGCGGUUAAAGCUGUGUUGGAGAGCAUGGUAAACAAUAAUGAAGUAAUUGUCGA